UGGGGGAUAUUGCACAAUGGGCGAAAGCCUGAUGCAGCGACGCCGCGUGGGGGAUGAAGGCCUUCGGGUUGUAAACUUCUUUUGCUCUGAACAAGGCAUGCCUUUGGGGUGUGUUUAGUGUAGGGGUUGAUUAGCGCCGGCUAACUACGUGCCAGCAGCCGCGGUAAUACGUAGGGCGCGAGCGUUGUCCGGAAUUAUUGGGCGUAAAGGGCUUGUAGGUGGCUGGUUGCGUCUGUCGUGAAAGCUCAUGGCUUAACUGUGGGUUUGCGGUGGGUACGGGCUGGCUUGAGUGCAGUAGGGGAGGCUGGAAUUCCUGGUGUAGCGGUGGAAUGCGCAGAUAUCAGGAGGAAUACCGGUGGCGAAGGCGGGUCUCUGGGCUGUUACUGACGCUGAGGUGCGAAAGCGUGGGGAGCAAACAGG
Molecule: ribosomal RNA, 420 nt
Filed under: Fusobacteriota bacterium
Lineage: Bacteria; Fusobacteriati; Fusobacteriota
Description: Fusobacteria bacterium partial 16S ribosomal RNA
Rfam family: Bacterial small subunit ribosomal RNA
Source: RNAcentral